GGGGACUAAACCUAAUACACGAGCAUGUAAAAUUCUCCUAAUGAGGAUGCUGCCAGAUUCUUAAGAGAUUGGGAAAUCACAAUGCUAAAUAAUUAUAUAACUCUUAGUUAUGCAUCAGUAGAUCAGGAGAAUUUGAAAUUGUUUAUAAAGGACUGUUGAUAUGAGGUCGUUCACAUUAUUAUUCGAAACAUUAUUAUUCGAAUACUUCACUGCAUGCAUUUUUUUAUUUCUAUUUC
Molecule: long non-coding RNA, 236 nt
Filed under: Mytilus galloprovincialis (Mediterranean mussel)
Lineage: Eukaryota; Metazoa; Mollusca; Bivalvia; Mytilida; Mytilidae
Source: RNAcentral